This 481-nucleotide ribosomal RNA is filed under the name uncultured bacterium. RNAcentral describes it as "bacterial SSU rRNA". It matches the Rfam family "Bacterial small subunit ribosomal RNA", at positions 791 to 1271 of the family's 1533-position model. The record is from RNAcentral.
UAGUCCACGCCGUAAACGAUGGAUGCUAGCCGUCGGGGCAAUAGCUUCGGUGGCGUCGCUAACGCUUUAAGCAUCCCGCCUGGGGAGUACGGUCGCAAGAUUAAAACUCAAAGGAAUUGACGGGGACCCGCACAAGCGGUGGAGCAUGUGGUUUAAUUCGAGGCAACGCGAAGAACCUUACCAGGACUUGACAUGCCGGUCGCGGAUCGCAGAGAUGCCUUCCUUCAGCUUGGCUGGACCGUGCACAGGUGCUGCACGGCUGUCGUCAGCUCGUGUCGUGAGAUGUUGGGUUAAGUCCCGCAACGAGCGCAACCCUCAUCCUUAGUUGCCAUCAGGUUAUGCUGGGAACUCUAAGGAACUGCCGGGGUUAACCGGAGGAAGGUGGGGAUGACGUCAAGUCUUCAUGGCCCUUAUGUCCUGGGGCUACACACGUGCUACAAUGGUAGUGACAAUGGGCAGCGACAUCGAAAGGUGGAGCCAA